UACGUAGGGUGCGAGCGUUGUCCGGAAUUAUUGGGCGUAAAGGGCUCGUAGGCGGUUUGUCGCGUCGGGAGUGAAAACCUUGGGCUUAACUCAGGGCUUGCUUUCGAUACGGGCAGACUAGAGGUAUGCAGGGGAGAACGGAAUUCCUGGUGUAGCGGUGAAAUGCGCAGAUAUCAGGAGGAACACCGGUGGCGAAGGCGGUUCUCUGGGCAUGAUCUGACGCUGAGGAGCGAAAGCCAGGGGAGCGAACGGG
Molecule: ribosomal RNA, 253 nt
Filed under: uncultured bacterium
Lineage: Bacteria
Description: partial 16S ribosomal RNA
Rfam family: Bacterial small subunit ribosomal RNA
Source: RNAcentral